GCAUAACGCGAAGAACCUUACCAGGUCUUGCAUCCUCUGCCAACCCUAGAGAUAGGGCGUUCCCUCCGGGGACGGAGUGACAGGUGGUGCAUGGUUGUCGUCAGCUCGUGUCGUGAGAUGUUGGGUUAAGUCCCGCAACGAGCGCAACCCUCGCCCUACGUUGCCAUCAUUAGGUUGGGCGACUCUAGGGGGACGUNCCGGUGAUAAGCCGGAGGAAGGUGGGGAGUGACGUCAAGUCUUCAUGGCCCUUACGGGUUUGGGCUACACACGUGCUACAAUGGCGGUGACAGAGGGCUGCUAGUCCGUGAGGACAUGCUAAUCCCAAAAAGCCACUCUCAGUUCGGAUUGCAGGCUGCAACUCGCCUGCAUGAAGUCGGAAUCGCUAAUAAUCGCGGAUCAGCAUGCCGCGG
RNAcentral lists this ribosomal RNA (410 nucleotides) under uncultured bacterium. Its description in RNAcentral is "bacterial SSU rRNA". It matches the Rfam family "Bacterial small subunit ribosomal RNA", at positions 954 to 1362 of the family's 1533-position model. The record is from RNAcentral.